CUACGGGUCGCAGCAGUGAGGAAUAUUGCACAAUGGGGGGAACCCUGAUGCAGCAACGCCGCGUGGAGGAUGAUGCAUUUCGGUGUGUAAACUCCUUUUAUAUGUCAAGAAAAUGACGGUAGCAUAUGAAUAAGCACCGGCUAACUCCGUGCCAGCAGCCGCGGUAAUAAGGAGGGUGCAAGCGUUACUCGGAAUCACUGGGCGUAAAGGACGCGUAGGCGGGUUGGAAAGUCAGGUGUGAAAUCCUACAGCUUAACUGUAGAACUGCACUUGAAACUUCUAAUCUAGAGUAUGGGAGGGGGAGAUGGAAUUAGUGGUGUAGGGGUAAAAUCCGUAGAUAUCACUAGGAAUACCUAAAGCGAAGGCGAUCUCCUGGAACAUUACUGACGCUAAGGCGUGAAAGCGUGGGGAGCAAACAGGAUUAGAUACCCUAGUAGUC
RNAcentral lists this ribosomal RNA (439 nucleotides) under uncultured bacterium. Its description in RNAcentral is "partial 16S ribosomal RNA". It matches the Rfam family "Bacterial small subunit ribosomal RNA", at positions 339 to 795 of the family's 1533-position model. The record is from RNAcentral.